CUAGGACUUCCGGUACUACGUUGAAGAGGGGUGGUGAGAGUGACAGACCAAUAACAAGCAGCAAGGUUGAAAUGGUAAUUUAAAAAUUACCAACAAGAAAAAGUCCAGGACCAGAUGGAUUCACAGCAGAAUUCUACUAGACAUUCAAAGAAGAAUUAGUACCCAUCCUUUUGACACUAUUCCACAAGGAAUCCACCAGGAAAACAAAGCACUCUGGUACUUCAACGGAGAAUUUAGAUAAAUACGUGGUUAAAUGAACAUUGAAGAAGGAAAGCAGCAACAAAGAAGCUCUCAGACGAACAGACAGGACAGAGUCAGGAAAGAACAGAGUGCUCCUAUAAUGGUACUCUAAAGCUGCUUUGAAUUUUCAAACCACUUUAAUUGCACUUUGAGUAUCUAAGCAAACCUGAUCUCCAGAUACAGACAGAGCUUUCCAGGGACAACUAUGUCAUUAAAAAAUUCUGAGCCCUCAGUGAUGGAGUAGGAGUGGAGCAUUCUGAGCCUGUGAGCAAACUGUGUGAAUUCAAGUUCUUCUGGCCACCGUGUGAAGAAGGAUGUGUUUGCUUCCACUUCCGCCAUGAUUGUAAGUUUCCUGAGGCCUCCUCAGCCAUGCUGAACUGUGAGUCAACUAAACCCUGUUUUAAAAAUAAAUUGCCCAGUCUCAGGUAUGUCUUUAUUAGCAGCAUGAGAACAGACUAAUACAACAUGUGUCCAUCAAUAAAUGAAAGUAUAAAAAAAAGUAUUAUACAUAUGUAAUGGAAUACUAUUCAGCCAUUAAAAAACUAUGAAAUUAUGUAUUUUACAACAAGAUGGAUGAAACUAGAGAUCAUUAUCUUAAGUGAAACAAGCCAGGCACAGAAAGACAAAUAUUGCAUGUUCUCACUCAUAAAUGGGUGAAGAUUAUGGGAGUCAGGCAGCAGGUCGGGAUAGCCGCUGAGCUGACCAGUGACUCAUGUGGCUGUAAUCACUAGGACAACAGCCUUGUAUCUGGCUGAAAGGCUGGUGAAGCCACUGAGGAGUGGAUGACAGACGUAUUGCCUGCUACAACUGCAGCAGAGGUGGGGGGC
This 1067-nucleotide long non-coding RNA is filed under the name Homo sapiens (human). RNAcentral describes it as "HSALNT0130165". Lineage: Eukaryota; Metazoa; Chordata; Mammalia; Primates; Hominidae. The record is from RNAcentral.